GAUCAGCAUCAGACUGGACAGUUUCCUUUUGGUUCCCUUGAUGCAAAAUGUGCCUGUUGAGAAGGCAUCUGUUUAAGGGAUUACAGAGUGCAAAUGGUGAUGUGCAGAGACCUCUAGAGACCACAGCGCCUUACUGCACUUAAUCACAUGCAGAUAGGGCUCCGUGCCGAAGUCAUGACGUCAUCGGGAACGGUGAAACUGGCCAGAAAAUGAACAAGGUAACUAGCUAUAGCUUGAGAGGCCGGACUCGCAAAUGUCGCAUGGUUUGGGCUUUUCCCGCCCCCCUACCUCCACUUCUAAAUGAGUUAAUUAAGAGAUAA
RNAcentral lists this long non-coding RNA (320 nucleotides) under Monodelphis domestica (gray short-tailed opossum). Its description in RNAcentral is "lncRNA (ENSMODG00000030382.2)". The record is from RNAcentral. Lineage: Eukaryota; Metazoa; Chordata; Mammalia; Didelphimorphia; Didelphidae.